GAAGAGGCUGCAGGUGGCCCAGCCCCCACCCCGGCCUGCGCUGCCCCUCCCAGGACAGGCCCUCGCCCGCCCCUCCCUGGUCUCCAGCCUGGCUCUGCCUAAGUGACUGCGUGGGAACUCCGAGUCUGCACCCCCAGCACGGGAGAGCUCGGGAAGCCUGGUGUUUUUGCUCCAACACACAGCUACUACCGGGGGCCUGAGCCGGCUGCUCCAGCUGGGCCCCUGCUUCCUAGGGAGCCCCGGGACCUCCGCCGCACUUGGGGCUCCACCCCCAGGUCAGGGAAGGAAACCCGGCACACGGGUCCAGGCAGACCAGGAACACAGACCUGUACAGCUGUGCCCCGGUGAGCACAGAACCCACCCAGCAAGGUCCAGCUCCAGAACCACUCCCAGCGCCCAGAACGCGUACUCACCGAAGCUUUGCACACAGAGUCGGCGUGAAAUCGACUAAAAUUGCUUUUGUUGUAGACAGGCAGGCCUUUCAAAAAAUCUGCCUAGAAGACAGGGAAGAUGGUCCUCCCAUGACGUUUUCCAGAAUGCACCCUUAAGCUGGCUACCUGAGGUGCACACUAUUGGGACCAGAAGAAAGUAGCCCUGGGAUAAGUGAGCGUUCUCUUCUGGGGUCCUCACAACAGCCCUGUAACCAGCUGAGAGGGGGGAGAAUGGAGGCUGAGCAAGGAACAGGGCAGGGAGUCGAACCCGGGCCCAGACCUUCCCUCUGUGCUUGCUGAAUAUUAAACACCUGGUCUCGUUUCCACAUA
This is a long non-coding RNA of Herpailurus yagouaroundi (jaguarundi), 761 nucleotides long. RefSeq lists it as uncharacterized. The transcript is spliced from 3 exons. The record is from RefSeq and is a predicted model, not a curated record. NCBI's taxonomy places the organism in Eukaryota, Metazoa, Chordata, Mammalia, Carnivora, Felidae.